GGCGCGCAUCUCUGUCCUCCGCUUGUGAAGCGACUGCAGGGGAGCCAGAUGCCCGACUGUGAGCCGCUGCCUGUGGAUACACAUCCCAAAUGCCAGAGCAGGCGAGAGCCACAGACACAUUUCACCAUAUGACAGGGAAGAGGACAGAAUAGACGGAGUAAGAUUUUUUUAAUUUCUGAAUAUAUAACCUUUUACCUCCCUUGUUGUCUCUGUUACAACCUCUGCUUCAAAUGAAGAGCUGCCUUGGACUUGGAGUACCGGGCAUCAGUAGAACACAAAUCCGUUAUCCCACUCAGCCCCUGCUGCUGCGGUGCUGCUGCCUGUGAGUGGCUCAUCUCAUUGCAUUGGAUUAUACAGCGUGUCUAUAUGCGCAAAACCAUGGAGAUUAUAUGACGUGGAUUUAUUUUUUGAACAAAACUGGACAUCUACAAAAGCGACGUGUCCUGUUCUUUUAAUUUUCUCGCCUUGCCUUUUUAUUUUGCGUUUUUCUGUUCCGUUUUCUCUUUUGAUCUAUGGCUACUUUAUGAUUUCAUGUCCUUAGCGAUCGUUCCUUAUUUUCAUUUAUUUAUUUUUUUACACUUGUUUUUUUUUGGAGACGCAGAAGUGGGAUGCCUCGCAGAGAACAUUUGUGGGGAGAAGAAUCCGCGCAACAGCGAGGGUGAAUGAAUGAUAGUCUCCCUCUCCAUCUGAGACGUGCCAUGGAUGGGAAACUUAAUUUGUAUCCACGGAACCGAUCGGGGAAUAUCCUUCGCUUCAAAUAACUACUGCUGACAGCGAUCAGGACGAAUGUCAUAGGAUGAACACUGCUGGUGGGGUGUGUCUGUCUGUGCUGUCCUCUCUCCUGGCUGUGGCUGGGGCCCUGGCUGCCGUGUCUGCCCUCGCUGUAGCUCCUCUCUCUGCCCUGACUGAGGCUGCCAACAGCGUCCCUAGCACCGGGGCAGAGGGGGCCCCCUCGCCCAUCUCCUCACCAUGCUCCAGCCUUGUAGCUGGGGUGCUUUAUGGGUCUUUCUCCCUAAGGGAGCUCUUUCCAUCCAGGGCGCCGGGCUGUUCCUGGUCCCUGGAAAACCCUGAUCCCACCAAGUACUCCCUCUACCUCCGCUUCACCCGGCACCCUGUCAUCUGCCGAACACACUCCCCCAUGCUCCUCUCCCUUGAUUACCACCUGGCCAAUCAAAGCUGUCCCCUCCACUUACAAACAGCCGCUGCUAAGGAUCAGCAAAUCAUUGAUUUGUGUGGCAGCCAAUCCAACUCAGAGGGACCGUACUCGUUCCUACAGUUUGAUAAGAACUUCGUCCAGCUAUGUCUAACGAGACAUCCAGCCGCGGACGAGCCCCAGGUAUCUAAGGAAAUACUGGAGCUGAGGCUGGUAGAGGUGUUGCUCAUUAACAACGAGAACUCCAGCCAGUUUACCUGCGGCGUGCUCUGCAGAUGGUUUGAGGAGUGUUUACGCACAGGUCACAAUGGAGACCAGGAGGUUUCUGACGGAGAUGGUUGUGGGAUGACGCAGACGGGAUGUAUCUGUCCGAACCACAACAUCAUGGCACCACCUGUUCCCUUGCUCCCGGAGACGCCCCACAGUUUCAGCAACGGCUCGGUUCUUCCUGAUGACUGCUGCGUCACUGAGCUGCACUCCAAUGAAGCAAUCGUCAUAGCACCCCGAGAUGUUCGACAAGACCCAUUUGAAGAUGAUGAUCUGAAGGUGAAGACCCAGAGACCUCGAUCAGCUGACCAGCCAGGUGUGUUUCAGGCACAAACUGGCGACCCUGCGGCAGAGGAGUGGUCUCAGUGGAGCGUGUGUUCUCUUACAUGCGGGCAAGGCUGGCAAGUGAGGACGCGAUCAUGCGUUUCCUCUCCCUAUGGGACACUAUGCAGCGGAGCCCUGCGGGAAACACGCAUGUGCAACAACACCGCUUCCUGUCCGGGCGAUCCGGGCAUCUCGGGCUCAGUGCAUGGGCUUUGGGAGGAGUGGUCGUCAUGGAGUCUGUGCUCUGUGACCUGUGGGCGGGGCUCCAGGACUCGAACCAGGAAGUGUGUAAACGGAAGCGCGGCAAUGGCUUGUGGAUAUCCCGAGACUCAGACCAAACUCUGCAACAUAGCAGUGUGUCCUGUGGAGGGCCAGUGGUUGGAGUGGGGGCCGUGGUUGAAAUGCAGUGUGACCUGUAACACGGGAAGCCAGCAGAGACAGAGGCGCUGCAGUGCGUCUGUGCACGGCUGGGCUGAAUGUAAUGGGGAUCAUCAGGAGAGCAGAGAAUGCACCAACCCUUCCUGCACUGGUGGAGGUAACUGGGGCACCUGGAACCACUGGAGCCUCUGCAGCAAGACAUGUGACUCGGGUUUGCAGCACCGCUCCAGAUUGUGUGAGGGGACCGGAGACCAGGGCUAUCCAUGUGAGGGCUCAGGAGAGGAGGUCCGGGCCUGUAAUGAGAAGAAGUGCCCUGCUCCUCAUGAGAUAUGUAACGAAGAUAACCUUCUCUCUAUGUCAUGGAAAAGGGCCUCAGCUGGAGAAACUGUCUACAACAAGUGUCCAACUAACGCCACAGGAUCUGCUAGUCGUCGUUGCAUGCUGGAUAAUAAUGGAGUUGCUUUCUGGGGUCCUCCGAGCUUCGCCAGAUGCGUCUCACUUGAAUAUAGAUAUUUACAUUUAUCUUUACGAGAGCAUCUCGCGAAGGGUCAGAGGACCCUGGCUGGGGAGGGCAUGUCUCAGAUCGUAAGGACUCUCCUGGAGCUCUUGCAGAGAGGGAGCUACUACAGUGGCGACCUUCUCUUUUCCACGGAGAUCCUGCGAAAUGUGACGGACACCUUCAAAAGAGCAACCUACGUCCCAGCUCCCGACGACGUGCAGAAACUCUUCCAGGUAGUCAGCCUCAUGUUGGACAUGGACAAUGUGGAGAAAUGGGAGGACGCCCACCAGGUCGCUCCCGGUGCUGCUUUGCUGAUGAGGAUAUUAGAAGAUUUCAUUCACCUCAUUGGAGAAGCCCAGAAGCCUUUCCAGAGUUUCUUGGUGGUUACCAACAAUCUUAUGAUAACCGUCCAGAGAGAGCCAGUGUCAGCCGUUUCCAGCGAUAUCAACUUUCCAGUGAAGGGCCGGAGAGGGAUGAAGGACUGGGCCAGAACAUCAGAGGACAAGCUCUACAUCCCUAAAGAGGUCUUCAUCAACCCGGCUGAAGAGACAGAAACAGAGUCAGAUGCUCCAAUGUACUAUGUCAUCGGAGCCAUCUUGUACAGGACGUUGGGCACCAUCUUACCCGCACCAAACGCCCCUGCUGUGAUUAACUCGAAGAUCCUUACCGUGACAGUACGACCGGAACCACAACCCAGCAAGCCCAUGGUGGUGGUGGAGCUAUCACCACUUUUCAAUGGUACAUCAGAUCCACAGUGCAUUGUCUGGGACUAUGGCAACCCGGAAGCUGGUGCAGAAAACUGGGGCACAGAAGGCUGCCAAACGCUCGCGUCAACCACUGUCCACACCAAAUGCCUCUGCAGCAGGAUAUCCACCUACGCCGUGUUAGCGCAGCAAGCUAAAGACCCGGACAUGGGUCCUUCCAGCAUGCCCUCUGUGCCCCUCAUGGUGGGCUGCGGGGUCUCCUGCACCGCUCUGCUCAUCCUGCUGCUAAUCUACGCUGCCUUCUGGAGGUACAUACGCUCGGAGAGAUCCAUCAUCUUGGUGAAUUUUUGCCUCUCCAUCUUGGCCUCCAACUUACUGAUUCUGGUGGGACAAUCUCAAACGCUCAGCAAGGGCCUUUGUACUGUGACUGCCGCCUUCCUGCAUUUCUUCUUCUUGGCGUCCUUCUGCUGGGUGCUGACGGAGGCAUGGCAGUCCUAUCUGGCCGUCAUUGGCAAAAUGAGGUCACGACUCAUUCGCAAGCGUUUCCUGUGCCUCGGCUGGGGUCUCCCAGCUCUAGUUGUAGCAGUGUCAGUGGGUUUCACCAGAGCGAGAGGUUACGGCACAGCAAGCUAUUGCUGGUUGUCCUUGGAGGGCGGUCUGCUUUAUGCCUUCGUUGGGCCGGCUGCUGUCAUUGUAUUGGUGAAUAUGCUCAUUGGAAUCGUGGUUUUUAACAAGCUCAUGUCUCGAGACGGCAUCUCAGACAAGUCUAAAAAGCAGCGAGCGGGUGUCCCAGCGGAGGCGCGUAGCCGACUGCUCCUGAAAUGCUCCAAGUGUGGCGUGAUCUCGAGCACCGCUAUGUCCAGCCAGACUGCCAGCAGCGCCAUGGCGUCUCUGUGGAGCUCCUGCGUAGUUCUCCCCCUGUUAGCAUUAACCUGGAUGUCAGCAGUGCUGGCCAUAACUGACCGGCGCUCCACACUUUUCCAGGUCCUCUUUGCCGUCUUUGACUCCGUCCAAGGUUUCGUCAUCAUCACCGUCCACUGUGCAAUGCGUCGAGAGGUGCAGGAUGCGGUGCGCUGUAGGAUGGGGGGAUGUAAAGAUGACAGCGAAAACUCCCCAGACUCCUGCAAGAAUGGACAGGUGCAGAUCAUGAAUUGCUCUAAUGUGAACUUCAGUGGGCAGCAGUAUGGCUCUCUGCGUAUCGGCACCCCCCCGUGUCUGUCCAGUUGCCACCAGCAGUUGCCACCUGCAGGCCACCAGGCCUGCCAACAAGCCUGUUACCACAGUCUGCCCCGCAGCAACAACCAGGGGCUCGAGCACAGCCAUGCACACGAGCAUAGCCCCAUCCUGAACAACACCCACAACCACAACCACGCUCAUAACCACGUCGCCCACAACCACAACCACAUCGGAAGCUUUCCAACGGAUUUUGAGAAGGAUGUGGACUUGGCAUGUCAAACAGAGAGAGGACACCCAUUCAUAUUCAAGGAGGUCAACACGUGUAACCCGGCCACCAUCACUGGCACCCUUUCCCGCAUCUCCCUGGAUGAUGACGAGGAUCCAAAGCUAGCAGCCCAUCAGGAAGGGGUCAACUUCAGCUCCCUCCCCGGGAACAUCCCCCCUCCCAACCUGAUCGUACAGGUUCCAACCCUGAGCGGCCUGAAUGAGCUGAGUGAGACGCCCCUAAAGAAGGACGUGAACCUCGAUCAGCAGAGACAGCAUGGGCAGCAACGUAGCGGCGCUCCAAUCUACCUGUGCACCGAGAGUGGCCUAGGGUGGGCUCGACCGCCCCCCUCCUCCAACACCUCCCAGGAUGGAAGUGCCUGUAGUGGAGGCAGUGGAUGUGGGAGCGGAGUAAAUGGAGGAAGUGGGGAGGGAGAUUACAUGGUCUUACCUCGUAGGACGGUUAGUCUCAAACCUCCAGCUCCCUGCUCUCAAGGAGGAGGCCUGGGUCUGGGGGGCGAGGACAAGCCCCUCAACAUCGCAGUGGAGGAUCCUCCCUUCCCCCCGCCUCCCUCACCCCUGACCCUCCACCCAGCUGAGAGUGAGGCGUACCCGGCGGAUUUUGUGCCGUCAAGCGUAGGUGACAUGAACAUCGCCAUGAACCUCAACCGCUCCUAUGGGACGAUCAAAACCAUGCCCCACGGGCACGCCCACAUGAUGGCUCCGGGUGGUCUUGUACACUCCCACGGAGGACACAUGCACUCCCAUGGGCAUUCGCUCCAGCUGAAGCAGGGCCAGAGGCCGUCGGUCAGACAAAUUCUGACAGGGGGAUCCACAGUGGAGAGAACCAGGACCCUGCCACGCAACUUGGGCAGCACCAAUGCCAACAGCAGCCACUCAGCAGGAUCCUUGGAGAGGAAAAGAGUACGGUACUCUGAGCUGGAUUUUGAGAAAGUGAUGCACACUCGCAAAAGACAUUCUGAGCUGUACCAUGAGCUCAACCACUCGUCCAAGUUCCACACCAUAGACAGGUAUAGCAGGGACCCAGCCAUGUCCACAUUCAAGUAUGAAUGUAGCCAGACAGUCAACAGAACCAUGGGCAUCCAAGUCAACAAAGGUAAAGUUAACCCACUUACCCACAACCACCUGUCCUCCCCCAUCAUCUCCCAAAAACAUCCCGACACAUUGCUCACCCACAUCUAGACACAAUUUCCAUUCCAUGGUCCAAAUGAGGGGGACUCUGAGUGGCAGAGAGUGGGCCUCAUCCACCAACACUGUGGCGGAGGCUUCUUGAGAUGGCUUUAGAUGUUUGUGCUGUAGCAUCUUGUUCUAGCGAGUUCUAUCCCUAAACAAACUCCCCUUCAUGUAGCUGUGCCAUGCUUGUAGCUUGUAGUUUUUUCUCUCGGAAAAAAACCUGUCACUUGCCAAGUUGCCUGUAACCUCAAGUGUUGGGCGAUCAGGCAGAACAUUUCACAUUUCUAACUGUCACACCUUUGGCAAUCGUUGGAUAUUUGACUUGUGUGUUACUGCAACAUACACUUAAUUGUAUCCUGCUGUGCCUAAAAAUUCAAAAAGCAACCAUUGAUUCCUCUUCCUUUAAAAUGGUGCCGUUGUUCAGGUACAGUAUCGGUGAAUGAAACCCUGUGUUGCCAGGUCCAUAACAAACACUAAUGAAGCACAAACUUUGAUUUUUACUGGUUGAAUAUUUGAAUCACGUUCGUUUCUUUGAAUGCUGAUGAGAAAUAUAAAGGCACUCAUUACGGUGAUGAAACAUUUCCAGAAACAAAGUCUGUCAGACAUUCAUUUAGCCUAUAACUAAUGGCACACAAUGUUCAUUUAGUUUCCCAGGCCUGACAUCUUUGGCUUUUUGAGAGGCUUUUUCUGUGGUGUGACAUUUACAAAAGCUGCAUGUUGAGUCAUUAAAGUGACAAAUAAAAGCAGAGAUAUAGUCGAUAAGUUCAUCUCAAGAUAUACAUCUCUAUUUGUCAGUUUAAUCUUUACCAAUAUAAUAUUACAUUUUGAUGUUUGAUGUGUUCUUUAGGGUUACUAAAAACUAAAGCAGAUUAAUGUAGUAGGAGUAAAAUGUACUCAAUACUCGCAGUAUUUACAUCCACUGAUGCCACUGAGAAUAUAUGAUCUUAUAGAAUUAAUCUGUUGUAUAAUAAUAAUGCAAAUUAAUAAAUGCUUUCCAUAUAGGCAGAGCUAAUGAGCACUUCACAUAUGGAGUUAAAUCCAUCCAAAGGCAAUGUGCUUCAGCCUUCAAAUGUUUUUAAUUUCAGCAGGGGUUUGUUUUUUUCAAUGUUACACACCACCACCCGAACACAUUUAAACACUUUCACAAACAGCUCAAUUAUGUCUGCUGCUUUUUACAUUUAAGAAAUAAACAUACAUGUGUGCACUGCGGAAGCUUUGCAGCAGGGCACAAAAAGCUCCAGUCAAAUCAGCCAAUAGUAACCACGUUGUAGGUGCUUCUCAAGGGAAUCAAUUUGUGCCCAGAUAGUCCUUCUCCUUUGUUGCACUAGUGUUGCUGGACUCAUCAUAAACUCACACCCCGGGCAACCAACAAGGAAAUUGUGUUACCUCAACUGCACAUGUUAAAAAAAAAACCAGACCUCCCAAACAAAAUCACAGCACCCCAAGCUGCAGUUUUCUGGCAGGAACAUAACAAAAAAACGAUAGAUAACUCAGAGCUACAGCAGGGGAAACAAGGUUUAUGUUUUUAAGCCUCAGGCCGAACAUACAGAGUCAGCAAUGUCCACUUUAUUGCCUAGCUUUAACUAUUUGAUGUGUUGUGUUAACACAUACAGUAUCCAAUCAAUAAUGCAGAUAGUGUAGAUAGCACUUCCUUGCACUAAUAACCACAUUCGUUAUCUUCUUUCAACAUUAUUUAGAAAACAUGAGCCACGAAGCCUCUAGCACUGCACAGUAGAUUCACAGUUACGUUUUUCGAAUCAGAUCACUCCACACCCACAUACCCUCGUCUCUUUCAUCCCUUUUCUAGUAGUUGCAGACGCUAUUUGUGGUGCGUAGCAUGUGGAAUCCUUCCUGCAGUCUCUCUGCCCUUGCUUUGUCAGGUUGUCCUCUAAUCGUUGACAGGUUAGGACGAUAAAAGUCAGCUGUUCCAACACAGUUUGAAAAUGUGUGAAAAAAACCUGAGUGUUUGAUCACUGGUUUCUGCCCAUGCGUGCAUAUUGUGUGUGUUAUAUGUUGUAGUGAGAGAGUGGGGGGGGAUUGAGAGAUGGAGAGAAAGAAGGGGCCAGGUGUAAGCACGAAGCAACAACUGCCUGUUCACCUGCAGAAGGUGUGGGAACAAUGCUUUUGUUUCAGGGCAGAGUUGUCAGUGACUGUGAUCCCCCCCCCUCCCCUUCUUUUCUCUUUCUUUUUCGUCUUUCUGCCUCUCUCUCGUCACCCCCUCCUUGUCUUCUCCCUCCCAUUUCAUCACCACAGAGGGAAAAGCGAUGGAGCAUUUCGUCUGCCGGAGGUGAAAAGAACUCGUCGAGUGACAAGUCAACCCCGGAGGAGCAGUGCUCGUGGGACAGCUUCAAGACCAUGACCCCGGAGCUGUCCAUCGUGCCUGGGGAGCAGAAGGACCGGAUGGAGCUGCACAAUAAGAACUGGGACUCCUCCUCCGCUAACACGCCCGACUCAUCCGAGGGAGACUUCCAGACUGAAGUGUGAACACACACACGGAAACACACUCACUUGAAUACGCACUCUCGAACUUCUGAAAAGCUAUACAUAACUACAUGAUUUCUCGCAAAGAUCUCACACACACUGCUCCCCCGUCUCCUGCAAUGUGCUCUGUUCGGAUGCGUUACUGUAUUUGUUUACUGCUGCAGUGGACAGACAUGGAAAGAAGACUGUUCUACCCUAUAUUUUCGCAAAGACUAUUGAAGAAAGAGAACAGGGGCUCGACAUGUCUGGGUACUGAAGAAGAUUUUUAAAUGAACUUGAAAAAAAACUAUGAAAAACGUAUUUCUGAGAAAAAAAGUCUUGAUUUUAUUCUGGAGAAAAAAGAAAAUCUCUUUCAAUUGUUUGAGGAUUUGUGGGGGGGGGAAGAAAAAGAAUAUUUCUGCACCAUUCAGUUCUUUUUAUAGCAAGGGAAAACAAUCUCAAUGAGGUUUCUCACGCUGGUAGCCCCCCCUAGGCACCCUACUUUCAUUUAUUUCCUUUUCCCUUCUAAUGAAUGACAGAAGCAUUCUAUCUCUCAGUCUUUCCUUUUUUAUUUAAGUUUUUUACUUUUCAUCAUUUCGGAUUGGAUGUGGGAUGUGCUCAUUGAUAUGUGCUAUCCUCUGCUCCAGUUCAACAAUCCCAUCCAUCCAUUCCUCUCACAUUCUGUGUCAACAAUGUGUUUCCCCUUUUUUCUGUAUUUUCUAUGGUUUAGUUAAAAAAAAAAAUGUCCUCCUCUAUGGUUUGAAACUUUUAAAUGAAAAAAUAAUAUGAUUGAAACAACUGUUCAAGAAGAAUUGAUUUAUUUUCAGACUGGUUUCAUUUCUGCUGCCUUUUUUAUUUCCUUCAUUUCCUGUGAGAAUUAACCCAUGUGAAUCUUUAAUACAUUGAGAACACACACUGUAUAUGUGAGCUUACUUUCUGAGGGUGACGUGUGGCGCAUGUUAGCCAACCUAGAAGGAUGGCGAUCGUCAUGCUGAUUCUCGCAUCCCCUUUUUUCCCCAGUGCUUGGAGAUAAAAGCCUUUUUAAAGAUUGCAGCAUCUGAAUCCAUUUCAACCAUCACCAAAGUGAAAAUAGAAUAUAUCAGUCACUUUCAGCCCAAAUGGACGUACCAUCAUGCCGCUUAGUGAACCGCCAAUCCGUUUAGCUGCUAACUCGCUCUUCCCCUGUUGCUGAGGGUUUAUUGUUUGCUUCCCUCAACCUUAGUAGGUGUUUCCACUUACCCUAGAACCCUUCCAUUGAUUUAAAGACAAAUGCCUUUCUUUACUUUCGUCUACCAUUUUUUUAUUCUUCUCCUGCUGCCAGCCAUGCAUCGUGCUACCAAGAGGCAUGACAUCUUAAUGUUAGCUGUGAAGCAAGAUGUAUAAUUCUCAUCCACAUGGACACCUGUCCCUGUCAUUUAAUCCUGCACUUGUGAGCACAGCGGCUGCAGAAAGAGAGUGUGAUAGAAAGACAGAGUCACAGAGGUUAUGAGGCUACAGGGUGGCAGACGAGGCGAAGAGAAAACAGCCACACAAAAAAUCAGCCAGUGGUGAGGCUUCCUGCUUGAUAUUCCACAUCCGUACUUCGGUCGCUGCGAGAGGACAACCAGUUUCCUGCUGUUGCUACAUUAGCACAUCGUCCCCCCCACACACACCGGCAUAGAGAAAGUGCCAGGGUGCAGGAUGCAUUCAAUAGAUGGUUCGAUAACUUUUCUGUCUAUGCUCAAUGCUGCUCUCAUUAGUCAUUAGAAAGAGAUGAGGGACAAUUUAAGGAGAAAAUAGUGCAAGAGACAAUGGUAGCCAAGGAUAAAAAAAGAUUCAAACAUAUAUACUUAGGAAGCUUGAGGCAGGAAGAGAUGCAGAUUAAGAAGGGGAGCUCUCAAAACUGUAAUUAUCCGGGGAUGGCGAUUUGUCCUGACAUUUUCCGAUGCAGCCCUCAAACCAUCUGUUUAAAGAUCCCUAAUGUGGGAGUAGUGCGGCGUGGCGCAGAUGGUGAGACAAGAGUGCGGCUCUCCUACCCUUUCAAGUUAAUCAGCUGAUAGACAAACAUAA
Molecule: RNA transcript, 10468 nt
Organism: Gymnodraco acuticeps
Lineage: Eukaryota; Metazoa; Chordata; Actinopteri; Perciformes; Bathydraconidae
Gene: adgrb2
Gene name: adhesion G protein-coupled receptor B2
Exons: 36
Source: RefSeq, a predicted model, not a curated record